AUGCAGAUUGGUAGCAGUGGGCCACCACCGAGGAACAGGGCAUCACCUUCAAGACUUUUUCUCCUAAACAGUGGCCUUGAUGAUACACAAAAGGAUGCCAUUGGUGAUAUAAGCUGUGGGGGUGUGCUUGAUAUCGGGACAAGAACAAUGAAAGGAGAUCUUGCGAAGUUUGUGACGAAGUGUUAUGAUCCAGAUUUGUCGCAGCUUGUUAUCCCAGAUAGGGGGAAGAUCCCAGUUGAUGCAGCAAGCGUAGAAAGAAUCUGGGGUUUGCCAAGGGGGCAGGGAAGGUUGCAUAUGAAGUGGAGCCAGACGUAG
Molecule: ribosomal RNA, 315 nt
Filed under: Triticum aestivum (bread wheat)
Lineage: Eukaryota; Viridiplantae; Streptophyta; Magnoliopsida; Poales; Poaceae
Description: partial small subunit ribosomal RNA
Source: RNAcentral